Molecule: ribosomal RNA, 430 nt
Filed under: uncultured archaeon
Lineage: Archaea
Description: bacterial SSU rRNA
Rfam family: Archaeal small subunit ribosomal RNA
Source: RNAcentral
AACCAGCUCUUCAAGUGGUCGGGAUAAUUAUUGGGCUUAAAGUGUCCGUAGCCGGUUUAGUAAGUUCCUGGUAAAAUCGGGUAGCUUAACUAUCUGUAUGCUAGGAAUACUACUAUACUAGAGGGCGGGAGAGGUCUGAGGUACUACAGGGGUAGGGGUGAAAUCUUAUAAUCCUUGUAGGACCACCAGUGGCGAAGGCGUCAGACUGGAACGCGCCUGACGGUGAGGGACGAAAGCCAGGGGAGCGAACCGGAUUAGAUACCCGGGUAGUCCUGGCCGUAAACGAUGCAUACUAGGUGAUGGUACGGCCAUGAGCCGUAUCAGUGCCGUAGGGAAACCGUUAAGUGUGCCGCCUGGGAAGUACGGUCGCAAGGCUAAAAACUUAAAGGAAUUGGCGGGGGAGCACCACAAGGGGUGAAGCCUGCGGUUC